UACGUAGGGGGCUAGCGUUGUCCGGAAUUACUGGGCGUAAAGGGCGCGUAGGCGGGCUGCCAAGUCCGGGGUGAAAUCUUUCGGCUCAACCGGAAAAUAGCCCUGGAUACUGGCAGUCUGGAGGGAGGUAGGGGCAUGUGGAACUUCCGGUGGAGCGGUGAAAUGCGUAGAUAUCGGAAGGAACGCCGGUGGCGAAAGCGACGUGCUGGACCUCUUCUGACGCUGAGGCGCGAAAGCCAGGGGAGCAAACGGG
RNAcentral lists this ribosomal RNA (253 nucleotides) under uncultured bacterium. Its description in RNAcentral is "partial 16S ribosomal RNA". It matches the Rfam family "Bacterial small subunit ribosomal RNA", at positions 524 to 776 of the family's 1533-position model. The record is from RNAcentral.